GAACGCUGGCGGUAGCUUACACAUGCAAGUCGAGCGAGAAAGUACUUCGGGUGCGAGUAGAGCGGCGGACGGGUGAGUAACGCGUAGGAAUCUACCUAGUAGAAGGGGAUAGCCCGAGGAAACUCGGAUUAAUACCGUAUACCUCCUUAGGGAGAAAGAGGGCUUAGCUUUGAUGCUCUCGCUAUUAGAUGAGCCUGCGUAAGAUUAGCUUGUUGGUGAGGUAAUGGCUCACCAAGGCGACGAUCUUUAGCUGGUCUGAGAGGACGAUCAGCCACAUUGGGACUGAGACACGGCCCAGACUCCUACGGGAGGCAGCAGUGGGGAAUAUUGGACAAUGGGCGCAAGCCUGAUCCAGCCAUACCGCGUGUGUGAAGAAGGCUUUCGGGUUGUAAAGCACUUUAAGUAAGGAGAAAAAGAUUGUAGUUAAUACCUGCAAUCCUUGAUGUUACUUACAGAAUA
RNAcentral lists this ribosomal RNA (459 nucleotides) under uncultured bacterium. RNAcentral describes it as "bacterial SSU rRNA". It matches the Rfam family "Bacterial small subunit ribosomal RNA", at positions 31 to 488 of the family's 1533-position model. The record is from RNAcentral.